Molecule: ribosomal RNA, 419 nt
Filed under: uncultured Bacteroidota bacterium
Lineage: Bacteria; Pseudomonadati; Bacteroidota
Description: bacterial SSU rRNA
Rfam family: Bacterial small subunit ribosomal RNA
Source: RNAcentral
CUUAACUGUAGAAUUGCCAUUGAUACUGCUAAUCUUGAGUAUAGAUGAAGUGGGCGGAAUGUGUCAUGUAGCGGUGAAAUGCUUAGAUAUGACGCAGAACACCGAUUGCGAAGGCAGCUCACUAAACUAUAACUGUCGCUCAGGCACGAAAGCGUGGGGAUCAAACAGGAUUAGAUACCCUGGUAGUCCACGCCGUAAACGAUGAUUACUCGAUGUUGGCGAUAUACAGUCAGCGUCUAAGCGAAAGUGAUAAGUAAUCCACCUGGGGAGUACGACCGCAAGGUUGAAACUCAAAGGAAUUGACGGGGGCCCGCACAAGCGGAGGAGCAUGUGGUUUAAUUCGAUGCAACGCGAAGAACCUUACCAGGUCUUGACUUCCCCCUGACCGUCCUGGAAACAGGGCUUCCCUUCGGGGCAGG